GACGAACGCUGGCGGCGUGCCUAAUACAUGCAAGUCGAACGAGAGCAACCGGUGCUUGCACUGGUCAAUCUAGUGGCGAACGGGUGAGUAACACGUGGGUAACCUGCCCAUCAGAGGGGGAUAACAUCCGGAAACGGAUACUAAAACCGCAUAGGUCUUCGAACCGCAUGGUUUGAAGAGGAAAAGAGGCGCAAGCUUCUGCUGAUGGAUGGACCCGCGGUGCAUUAGCUAGUUGGUGAGGUAACGGCUCACCAAGGCCGUGAUGCAUAGCCGACCUGAGAGGGUGAUCGGCCACAUUGGGACUGAGACACGGCCCAAACUCCUACGGGAGGCAGCAGUAGGGAAUCUUCCGCAAUGGACGCAAGUCUGACGGAGCAACGCCGCGUGAGUGAAGAAGGUUUUCGGAUCGUAAAACUCUGUUGUUAGAGAAGAACAAGUGCUAGAGUAACUGUUAGCGCCUUGACGGUAUCUAACCAGAAAGCCACGGCUAACUACGUG
This 498-nucleotide ribosomal RNA is filed under the name uncultured bacterium. RNAcentral describes it as "partial 16S ribosomal RNA". It matches the Rfam family "Bacterial small subunit ribosomal RNA", at positions 28 to 507 of the family's 1533-position model. The record is from RNAcentral.